GGAGGAGCCAUUUGUCGCUUCCGCCAGGAGGGACGAACUCUGGACACAAGACUUCCCAAAAUAAAGACUACAUUUCCCAGGCUCCCUUGAAGCUGAGCAUAGCCAUGUGACUAAGUCCUGACUAAUGGGGUGUAAGCAGAAACAGCCUCCAGGAAAUGUCCUUCAAGGGAAGGGGCGCAUCGUCCUUUACCCUUUCCUCCUUCCUGUUGACUGGAAUGCAGAAGUGAUGGCUGAAGCUCAAGCAGCCAUCAUGAACCACGAAGAGAAAGCCACUUGCCAAAGAUGCCACAAAAUACAAGGUACCUGGGUGGAGUCCCUGACACUGUAGAGCACCAGGGCAGCCUGGGACCUCCUACUCCAGGUUUUACAUCAAAGAGGAAUAAACUCCUGUUUUGCUUAAA
Callorhinus ursinus (northern fur seal) is the source of this 401-nucleotide long non-coding RNA. RefSeq lists it as uncharacterized. The record is from RefSeq and is a predicted model, not a curated record. Lineage: Eukaryota; Metazoa; Chordata; Mammalia; Carnivora; Otariidae.